AGGUCUUUGCGUCUCGAUU
Molecule: microRNA, 19 nt
Filed under: Apis mellifera (honey bee)
Lineage: Eukaryota; Metazoa; Arthropoda; Insecta; Hymenoptera; Apidae
Description: ame-miR-6003-3p
Source: miRBase by way of RNAcentral